This 253-nucleotide ribosomal RNA is filed under the name uncultured bacterium. Its description in RNAcentral is "partial 16S ribosomal RNA". It matches the Rfam family "Bacterial small subunit ribosomal RNA", at positions 524 to 776 of the family's 1533-position model. The record is from RNAcentral.
GACGAAGGAUGCAAGCGUUAUCCGGAUUCAUUGGGUUUAAAGGGUGCGUAGGUGGUCUUAUAAGUCAGUUGUGAAAUCUUCUCGCUUAACGGGAAAACUGCCAUUGAUACUGUAGGACUUGAGUAUAGUUGCUGUGGGCGGAAUAUGACAUGUAGUGGUGAAAUACUUAGAGAUGUCAUAGAACACCGAUUGCGAAGGCAGCUCGCAAAGCUAUAACUGACACUGAGGCUCGAAAGUGCGGGGAUCAAACAGG